This 468-nucleotide ribosomal RNA is filed under the name uncultured bacterium. RNAcentral describes it as "partial 16S ribosomal RNA". It matches the Rfam family "Bacterial small subunit ribosomal RNA", at positions 28 to 507 of the family's 1533-position model. The record is from RNAcentral.
GAUGAACGCUGGCGGCGUGCUUAACACAUGCAAGUCGAACGGAAAGGCCCUGCUUUUGUGGGGUGCUCGAGUGGCGCACGGGUGAGUAACACGUGAGUAACCUGCCCCUGAAUUUGUGGUAACUCCAGGAAAAUGGGGCUAAUACCGGAUAGGAGCUUCUGAUGCAUGGUGUGGGUUGGAAAGUUUCGGCGGUUGGGGCUGGAUUGGAGGCUUAUCAGCUUGAUGGUGGGGUAGUUGUUGACCAAGGCUGUGACGGGUAGGCGGCCUGAGAGGUGUAACGGGGACAUGGGGACUGAGAGACGCAGCAGACGCGAAUGGGAGGCAGCAGUGGGGAGUAUGACGCAGUGGGGGGAAGCGAGAGGCGGCGACGCCGGGUGCGUGAUGACGGGUUACGGGGUGUAAACCGAUGUCGCCUGAGACGAAGCGUGAGUGACGGUAAUGGGUAAAGAAGCACCGGCUAACUACGUG